GACGAACGCUGGCGGCGUGCUUAACACAUGCAAGUCGAACGGAAAGGCCCUGCUUUUGUGGGGUGCUCGAGUGGCGAACGGGUGAGUAACACGCGAGUAACCUGCCCUUGACUUUGGGAUAACUUCAGGAAACUGGGGCUAAUACCGGAUAGGAGCUCCUGCUGCAUGGUGGGGGUUGGAAAGUUUCGGCGGUUGGGGAUGGACUCGCGGCUUAUCAGCUUGUUGGUGGGGUAGUGGCUUACCAAGGCUUUGACGGGUAGCCGGCCUGAGAGGGUGACCGGCGACAUUGGGACUAAGAUACGGCCCAGACUCCUACGGGAGGCAGCAGUGGGGAAUAUUGCACAAUGGGCGGAAGCCUGAUGCAGCAACGCCGCGUGCGGGAUGACGGCCUUCGGGUUGUAAACCGCUUUCGCCGGUGACGAAGCGUGAGUGACGGUAAUGGGUAAAGAAGCACCGGCUAACUACGUG
This 468-nucleotide ribosomal RNA is filed under the name uncultured bacterium. RNAcentral describes it as "partial 16S ribosomal RNA". It matches the Rfam family "Bacterial small subunit ribosomal RNA", at positions 28 to 507 of the family's 1533-position model. The record is from RNAcentral.